This 30-nucleotide non-coding RNA is filed under the name Rattus norvegicus (Norway rat). Lineage: Eukaryota; Metazoa; Chordata; Mammalia; Rodentia; Muridae. The record is from RNAcentral.
UGCUAAACUGAGAGCUCUUUGGAGGUCAGG